Molecule: long non-coding RNA, 217 nt
Filed under: Cyanistes caeruleus (blue tit)
Lineage: Eukaryota; Metazoa; Chordata; Aves; Passeriformes; Paridae
Description: lncRNA (ENSCCEG00000000235.1)
Source: RNAcentral
AUUCCAUCCCCGUCUCUUCCAGUGCCCUCCCUGCUCACCCCAGGCGGCAUCAGGAAAUGUCACCCUCGGUCCCCCAGGUCCAAAGGGCACCAAGGGCGAGCGGGGCCUCCCUGGCACCGCCGGUGGCAAAGGGCAGAAGGGCGACCGUGUGAGUGUCCCUGAUGGCCCUGGCCUGUCCCUUUUGCUGGGGGACCGCUCCCUGCGGGGUCCCCGGCAC